GGUGAUAGAGCUCAAUGAAAAGAGCAUUGGGUGUGAAAUCAAAGAGCCAGGAUCAAAUCCUGAUUUUGCCA
RNAcentral lists this transfer RNA (71 nucleotides) under Sarcophilus harrisii (Tasmanian devil). It matches the Rfam family "tRNA". From Rfam's summary of the family: Transfer RNA (tRNA) molecules are approximately 80 nucleotides in length. Lineage: Eukaryota; Metazoa; Chordata; Mammalia; Dasyuromorphia; Dasyuridae. The record is from Rfam by way of RNAcentral.